AGCUCAGGACGGUCCUCAUCAUGCUCUGCCUCCAGAGAGAGAGGCCCCAGCAAGGCCAAGUCCCUCCACGUCCAUGCCAGACAGAACAAUUCCAGCUUUUCCGCUAAGGACAGAGAUAGUCCUCACCACUCUGACGCUGACCAUGCUCGUCGUCGUUCCAGGAGCUACUCUCCCAUCAGGAAAAGGAGACGAGACUCUCCCAGCUUCAUGGAGGCUCGCAGGAUCACCAGCGCCCGGAAGCGGCCUAUCCCGUACUACCGCCCCAGCCCUUCCUCCUCCAGUUCCAUGUCAAGCCCCUCCCAUUCAGGGAGGAGUCGCAGCCGCAGCUACAGCUGCAGUCACAGCCGCACCAGGAGUCACAGCCACUCACGCAGCCCCAGGAGCCACAGCAACUACAGUCGCAGCAGCUAUGAAAGCCCCGGCUUCUGAUGAGAGAGAGAC
Oncorhynchus masou masou (cherry salmon) is the source of this 441-nucleotide long non-coding RNA. RefSeq lists it as uncharacterized. The record is from RefSeq and is a predicted model, not a curated record. The transcript has 3 exons. NCBI's taxonomy places the organism in Eukaryota, Metazoa, Chordata, Actinopteri, Salmoniformes, Salmonidae.